GUGCCUCUUCACCGGCUUGCUGCCCACCUCCCUUCCUCGGCUUCCUGUUCACAAUGCUGAAUUACAAGAUCUAGGAUGAGGUUCAGUUCUUUUUCUAGGCUUCAAGAAACUCCCUUUUAAAACUUCAUGAUUAUGAUCAGAAAAGGAAAAGUUCUAGUAUCUACUUUAGGAAAACGCAGCCACAAUGCUCUUCAUUUUUUGGUUGCACGAGGCAGGAGAAGGAAACUUUUUUGUCCUACGUCAUUGUCCUUAGGAGCAUCUCACAGAAGCAGACCUACUCUUGAACUGAUCCCUCAUGUCAAAACGUGGGUGUAAUAUAAAUGCACCCCUGACAAAGCAAGAGUGAGAUGAAAUCAGCUUGUAAAAUAACUUCACCAAAAUCCUGACUACAGAACCCGGUGUGUUGGAGAGUUUUCCUGCUAUGAUUCUGCUUCGGUUUUUUGGGUUUUUUUUGUUGUUUUUUUGUUUUUGUUUUUGUUUUGCUGCAGGUCUCGCCUCUCUUUCCAGUGCCCUUUGCUGCCUGGGCAGCCCACAAGGCUUCACUUUGCACUUAUUACUCAUCAAACUGACGCUGGAUUACAGUGGGAAAGAGCAAAAGCUGAAGGCAGAAACGACAGAUGAAGGAAGAAAGCAAAAUACCAGCGCGAUGCCUCUGAGUUCUCAUUGCCUUUUCGUUUACUCAAGGCCUGGACACAUUUAUUUGCAUCUCUGACCUUAGGGGGUGGGAGCAGGAUGGAAAUGGUUUGGGCAUCUCUUCCCACUGAAAGAAUCCACCUCCUGGCCCAGCAGUGGGGCUGAAAAUUGGUGAAAUUUCGUAUAUUCUGCUGAUCUUUGAUUUUUUUUUCUCCUUGAGCUUCUGGUUAGAAAAAAAAUGUGGCUGAAGGGAACAGGGUUGCAGUUCACCCGGAAUCAGUACCAAGUAUCAAUAGCUAAUCUCUUGUCUUUUAAAGAAAGAGUCCUUCCUAUCAUGGGGUUUUUUAAAGCUAGUGAUAAAACAAAAAGCUAUUUUCUGAAACCAACCAAAUUGAAAAAUACCUGUUUUCAAACCUCGAGACUUCAAACCUUUAGUAGACAUAAUCAGGGAUGUUUUCAAUGAUUUCGCUCUUCCUGAUGUACAAUAGUUUUAUAAUCAGAAGUGGUAGCCCUGAAAUAAUAAUAUGGUCAUUUAUAGCCCUAUAGCUAGAGUAAAGAAAAGAACACAAACGUAGGGCAAACCAGGAAGGAAUUCAUCAGAUGAAAAUUAGGCAGUUUUCACCAUAAUUGACUCCCAUUGUAGAACUGGGAAGAGCAAGACAAUAUUAGAAAAGCAAAAUGAAUCCCAGUGAAAUGUAAUGACAGCUUCUCAGAGCUCCUUCCUCCAUCCAGGGUUCCGAAGAGUGUGUAGAAAGUACCACUGGUACAAAUUUUGACUAUAAUUUUGGACCAGCUCAAGACAUGGCUCAACAGAGUAUUGACAUGUGAUCCCAGAACAAGGUUUGACCGGGUAAUUUACUUUCUUGUACAUAUGUUUCAUUGGCCCCAGUCUCCCAGGAAAAAAAAAAAAAAAAAAAAAAAGGAAGGGAGGGACCGAGAAAGCAAAGCAAGAAUGUGAAUGAAGGCAGUGAAAUUAUGGCGAGAGCAGCUACUGUCUCCCAGGUCCAGUCACAACAUACAAAUGAAUCUAAACGCUGUAUAUUUAAAUUUUCUGUUACUGUUCAUAUUAUAGCCACUAUUUAUCUUGUGGCCCAUUUUUCUUCAGGUCUGAUCCUUUGAUAUUUGCAUUUUAUUUCACAACCUGACUUUUUUUACUCCAUCAAGCGUUAGGGGAAAAAAAGCAACAGCUUACGCAAUACCACAGUGCAAGGGAAGGCGGAGCUUCUCAGUAUUUGCAGACAUGUUAUUAAAUUCUAAUUCUGGCAAACAACAAAGAGGAAAACAGAAAGAGGCUUUCAACUGGAUGGUAAAAUGCAGUUUGCGUGACACCGUUGACCGUCAACGACAGGAUGCCUUCUUUCACUCACCUCCCAAACAAGUACUACGGAUCUGAUACUCAGGAAACAUUACAUUCAAACUUUGCUUUCAAGCUAGUAUAAGGAAACGUGCAGCCAGCCCAGACCCUCAGGCCUGCGCAUCAAGAUGGCAGGCUGGCCAAGGGUCCUCUGGGGACAGCAGCGCCAGAAGGAGGAUUGGACACGGUGACCCGUCUGCAUGAGAUGAGGAAAAAAACAACAACAACCAACAACCAGGAGGUCUGUAAUACUGAUGAACUAAUCUGUCACUCACCAGCUCAGGUCUGCAAAAAAGAAAAAAAAAAAUGUAGUAAACAUUUAAUGACCA
This is a long non-coding RNA of Canis lupus familiaris (dog), 2316 nucleotides long. RefSeq lists it as uncharacterized. The record is from RefSeq and is a predicted model, not a curated record. NCBI's taxonomy places the organism in Eukaryota, Metazoa, Chordata, Mammalia, Carnivora, Canidae. The transcript has 3 exons.